UGAGGAAUAUUGCUCAAUGGGGGAAACCCUGAAGCAGCAACGCCGCGUGAGGGAUGAAGGCGCUUUGCGUUGUAAACCUCUGUAGUCGGGGACAAAUGUAGGGUUACUACCCUAUUGAUGGUACCCGAAAAGUAAGGAUCGGCUAACUACGUGCCAGCAGCCGCGGUAAUACGUAGGAUCCUAGCGUUAUCCGGAUUUACUGGGUGUAAAGGGUGCGUAGGCGGACUUAUAAGUCAGUGGUGAAAUCUCGGCGCUCAACGCCGAAACUGCCUUUGAUACUAUAAGUCUUGAGUUUGGUAGAGAUCCGUGGAAUUCCGAGUGUAGCAGUGAAAUGUGUAGAUAUUCGGAAGAACACCAGCGGCGAAGGCAGCGGAUUGGGCCAAUACUGACGCUCAGGCACGAAAGCAUGGGGAUCAACAGGAUUAGAUACCCUGGUAGUCCAUGCCCUAAACGAUGUACACUUGAUGUCGGCUUGUAAGAGUCGAUGUCGGA
Molecule: ribosomal RNA, 492 nt
Filed under: uncultured bacterium
Lineage: Bacteria
Description: bacterial SSU rRNA
Rfam family: Bacterial small subunit ribosomal RNA
Source: RNAcentral